AUGGGGAUAUCCUUCCGAAAGGAGGGGCAAUACCGAAUAUUGUCCGGAGCCGUGAAGGGUUCCGGGGAAAGGGAGGCCUCUGAUACAAGCUUUCGCCUUAAGAUGAGCCCAUGGCCCAUCAGCUAGUUGGUAGGGUAAAGGCCUACCAAGGCUACGACGGGUCGCUGGUCUGAGAGGACGACCAGCCACACUGGCACUGAGAUACGGGCCAGACUCCUACGGGAGGCAGCAGUGAGGAAUAUUGCGCAAUGGGGGAAACCCUGACGCAGCAACGCCGCGUGUGGGAAGAAGGCCUUCGGGUCGUAAACCACUUUUACUCGGGACGAAAAAGGGAUAUCAAAUAAAUAUCCCGAUGACGGUACCGUGAGAAUAAGCCACGGCU
RNAcentral lists this ribosomal RNA (382 nucleotides) under uncultured bacterium. RNAcentral describes it as "bacterial SSU rRNA". It matches the Rfam family "Bacterial small subunit ribosomal RNA", at positions 137 to 498 of the family's 1533-position model. The record is from RNAcentral.